AGAGCGAACGCUGGCGGCAGGCCUAACACAUGCAAGUCGAGCGCCCAGCAAUGGGAGCGGCAGACGGGAUAGUAACACGUGGGAACGUACCUUUCAGUUCGGAACAACCCAGGGAAACUUGGGCUAAUACCGAAUACGCCCGUAAGGGGAAAGAUUUAUCGCUGAAAGAUCGGCCCGCGUCUGAUUAGCUAGUUGGUGGGGUAAUGGCCCACCAAGGCGACGAUCAGUAGCUGGUCUGAGAGGAUGAUCAGCAUCACUGGGACUGAGACACGGCCCAGACUCCUACGGGAGGCAGCAGUGGGGAAUAUUGGACAAUGGGCGCAAGCCUGAUCCAGCCAUGCCGCGUGGAUGAUGAAGGCCCUAGGGUUGUAAAGUCCUUUCGGCGGGGAAGAUAAUGACGGUACCCGCAGAAGAAGCGCCGGCUAACUACGUGCCAGCAGCCGC
RNAcentral lists this ribosomal RNA (444 nucleotides) under uncultured bacterium. Its description in RNAcentral is "SSU rRNA". It matches the Rfam family "Bacterial small subunit ribosomal RNA", at positions 26 to 518 of the family's 1533-position model. The record is from RNAcentral.